GAUAUUAAAAUUCACCAACACAAAUAUUCAAAAAAUAUAGAAUUACUGGUUCUCAGAGCUAACUUUAGGUGGCAUCAAAACAGACAGCUGCAAUUAAUUGUAUCCAAAACAAAACUCUACUAUAGUUGCAAGCCAGAACAGAAGAUAGUAAUCCAGUGAAUCAUACUGUUGAAUUCUACAACAUAUAAGAUGAUAGCACCGAGGCAGUGUAACAAAUGCAUAAUCACAAGUAGAACUUGAUUCUCGACUAGUUAGAUGCAGGAGUUUUUAACAAGCAUACUACUGUCUGUCCUUUAAUGGAUCAAAACUAAAUUGUCUUGCAUGAGGUGCUGACAAUUUCAAAAUGACAUUAACUCAACUCAACUCAA
Molecule: unclassified non-coding RNA, 368 nt
Filed under: Hevea brasiliensis (rubber tree)
Lineage: Eukaryota; Viridiplantae; Streptophyta; Magnoliopsida; Malpighiales; Euphorbiaceae
Source: RNAcentral